GACGAACGCUGGCGGCGUGCCUAAUACAUGCAAGUAGAACGCUGAAGGAGGAGCUUGCUUCUCUGGAUGAGUUGCGAACGGGUGAGUAACGCGUAGGUAACCUGCCUGGUAGCGGGGGAUAACUAUUGGAAACGAUAGCUAAUACCGCAUAAUAGCAGUUGUUGCAUGAUAACUGUUUGAAAGGUGCAAUUGCACCACUACCAGAUGGACCUGCGUUGUAUUAGCUAGUUGGUGGGGUAACGGCUCACCAAGGCGACGAUACAUAGCCGACCUGAGAGGGUGAUCGGCCACACUGGGACUGAGACACGGCCCAGACUCCUACGGGAGGCAGCAGUAGGGAAUCUUCGGCAAUGGACGGAAGUCUGACCGAGCAACGCCGCGUGAGUGAAGAAGGUUUUCGGAUCGUAAAGCUCUGUUGUAAGAGAAGAACGAGUGUGAGAGUGGAAAGUUCACACUGUGACGGUAUCUCACCAGAAAGGGACGGCUAACUACGUG
RNAcentral lists this ribosomal RNA (495 nucleotides) under uncultured bacterium. Its description in RNAcentral is "partial 16S ribosomal RNA". It matches the Rfam family "Bacterial small subunit ribosomal RNA", at positions 28 to 507 of the family's 1533-position model. The record is from RNAcentral.